This 584-nucleotide ribosomal RNA is filed under the name Ostrea lurida. RNAcentral describes it as "16S ribosomal RNA". Lineage: Eukaryota; Metazoa; Mollusca; Bivalvia; Ostreida; Ostreidae. The record is from RNAcentral.
UAAGGAUGCUAUAAUAUUAGGCAGUUUAUAUAAAAAACUUUAAAUGAACAAAGUAUGGGAACAUCAGAAAUGUUAGUUAGUAUUUAUAGGUCUGUAGAGAUUUUCAUAAAAAUUAAAAAGCUUUAGUUAAAUUAGUACCUUUUGUAUAAUGGCCUUUUAAGAGAGUUUGCUUUAUAAGCUUAUCCCGAAUUAAGCGGAUUUUUUAAGGAACGUGAAAGGUUUUCGAUGUGAGAGAUCUUUAGAUUUCUUAAAGGAUGUGAUAUGCAAUAUCGAAGCUUAAGAUAGCUGGUUAAGUGAUAAAUGCCUUUAAGUGCAGCUUUGAAGUAAUAUUUUGUAAUGGUUAAGAUUGCAGAUUAACUUUAAAAGUGAAAAGCCUGGCUAAAGGUCGGGUUUAUUAAUUUUCUUAAAAUUUGUUCUUCGUAGAGAAAAGUUGGAUUUAUAAUGUCUGUUUUGAUAAGAGUAUUUAACAAUUUAUCUCUGUAUAAAAAAGAAUAAUUUAUGGUAUUUAAGAGGUUAAAAAAUCGCUUAAUCUCCAAAAAUGGUCUUAUGGUAAGUUUUCAUGAACAGGAUUAGUAGUAACUGUG